GUGGGCUCACAAUUACUUCGUUCUCAAGAGAUGAUUCCUUACGAAGCUUCAGGACAAUUUUACAUAUUCAAUUUCUAUUCUUACUUCAGAAAAAAUACUCUUUUCUUGUUCUGGUGAAGGAGAAAUCUAUCGCGUGGGACAAUGAGGGGGAAAAAACAAUGCAUGUGAUGCUGGCUGAAGAAGGUUACUAAGCUACUGCUGUAUUCAGCAGGGUGCUCAAUGGCAGCGGGAGUAGAACAUGGGUUCAGAAUUCACGGGUGCCAGGGGACAGAGCGUCCUGGAGAUAGAUUCCCCCCACCUGUUGACGUACGACAGCGAGGCGCAUUUCUGAGCUACACGAGUGACAAAGAAGUGACAAAUACCCAUCUUAGAGCUCGUGCCUUUCAAAAAAAUCAGCAUCAGCUCCAUCACUGCAGUGCAAUCCCACAUCCAUAACUCCUGCUACUCUCAGAACAGCAACUUACAAUCUGACUGCUGUGCAGAAGUAGCUUAAAAGGAAGCAGAGAAGUAAUAUUCAGUGCUGCCUGAUGCAAAGAGUACCACAGGG
This 547-nucleotide long non-coding RNA is filed under the name Gallus gallus (chicken). RNAcentral's name for it is "lncRNA (ENSGALG00010007446.1)". Lineage: Eukaryota; Metazoa; Chordata; Aves; Galliformes; Phasianidae. The record is from RNAcentral.